UUGUAGCUCAGUGGUAGAGGGCUUGCCUCACAAGCACAAGGCCCUGGUUUCUCUUCCCAGUACAAA
Molecule: transfer RNA, 66 nt
Filed under: Marmota monax (woodchuck)
Lineage: Eukaryota; Metazoa; Chordata; Mammalia; Rodentia; Sciuridae
Description: tRNA.Val
Source: RNAcentral